RNAcentral lists this ribosomal RNA (440 nucleotides) under uncultured bacterium. RNAcentral describes it as "bacterial SSU rRNA". It matches the Rfam family "Bacterial small subunit ribosomal RNA", at positions 338 to 795 of the family's 1533-position model. The record is from RNAcentral.
CCUACGGGUGGCAGCAGUAAGGAAUUUUCGUCAAUGGGGGAAACCCUGAACGAGCAACGCCGCGUGGAGGAUGACGGUCUUCGGAUUGUAAACUCCUUUUAUGAGGGACGAUAAUGACGGUACCUCAGGAAUAAGCCCCGGCUAACUCUGUGCCAGCAGCCGCGGUAAUACAGAGGGGGCAAGCGUUGUCCGGAAUUACUGGGCGUAAAGAGCACGUAGGCGGUCGCGCAAGUGGUGUGUGAAACCACCCAGCUUAACUGGGUGACGCCAUGCCAAACUGCGCGACUCGAGUCAUGGAGAGGUUAUUCGAAUUGCUGGUGUAGUGGUGAAAUGCGUAGAGAUCAGCAGGAAGACCAAGGGCGAAAGCAGAUAACUGGCCAUGCACUGACGCUCAGGUGCGAAAGCGUGGGGAGCAAACUGGAUUAGAUACCCUAGUAGUC